CUUGUAAUCAACGGCAAUUUGAAAAAACGGCACAGCCACAUCAUUCAACGAAUACAUACAGGCACAGAAACACACUCACACAAUCGUAGAUUCGCGGCAAAGCAACUGGCGGAUGGGAACACACGCGUUAAAUACUGUUUGGGGUUCGGUACGGAUUUAUAUAUUAUUUGUUUAUAACAUAUUUUUCGCCGGAGUGACACUUGGAAUUUUACAUUUCUUUUUUUAUAGUUAUAGUUUUUGGAGCGACGCGACGGCGGCGCAGAAACAACAAAACCUCUACCGAGCGUUGCGCUUGUAUUUAUAUCCUCUACUCUCUUCUUUCCGAACCUUCUUCUCUUCGAAGCCUCUCUCUCUCUCUCUCUGGUCGCGAUCUGGGGCUGUCCACCCGGUUGAUUUUACUGCAUCUGAAUUGUGACCAUUUUUUGGAAAGUUCACACAACAAAAAAUCGUAUCUCCAAUAGUUGAUCUACAAGAGAAUUUUUUGAAAAAAGUUUUAAUAUUUAAGUGCACUGGUUCAAGUAAAUUGCGUUAGGUUGACAGCCCCGAGAGUGGUGUUGAACUCUAGUCACAUACAUACAUUUAUUGCUGAGCGUGAAUUUCUCUCCCUAGUGUUCGUGUGUGUGUGUGUGUGCAAUCGUGUGCAAAUGAUACACAGAAGAAUUAUAUCAAAGGCAGAGAAAAAUAAUGAUGACGCAGUGAAAAAAUUAUAUUAAAAUAAUUACAACGGCGCGUUCAACUUGGUAAAGACGUUGACGUCGACGUUCGGUUCGACAAGAGAGCGUCGUUGUCAUCUACGCGCGCACCUUUUUAGCUGCAGCUUGUUUGUGGCUGUUGUUUAUUCCUUCCCUCUCACUCACACUCUUAUUCCCGGGCCAUUGACAGGGUAGUUUCUUGAGGAAUUGUAGUGGAAAGGUUUUCCAGACGCUGUAUGUAUAUAUGCACAAAUGUAUGUUUGUUUUAAUGUACAGAACAUACACACACAAUAUGCGGAAUUCCUGUUGCUUUUUUGUUGUUGCCAAAAAAUAAGGGCGAUAUCUUUACAGGAAGGGUUGCGUUGUCUGUCGUCUUAGCUUUCCCGCCCUCCUGCCUCACAUCAACGUCCGUCCUUCCCUGCUAAAGCGCUAGCGCAGCUGUUGCUGUCUCGGAAUCCCAUUAUCCAAACUGCCCAGCGGGAAGAAUAUUUUCGUUGUCUUUUCCGUUUUUGCUCGAUUUUGUUUUUUUUUUGCUUGUCUGUCCAAGGUGACACAGUUUUGCGUACGGGCUGCGUCUUCGUCUUCAAUGGAAUUGUGCAGAGUUGGACAAAUUUUUUGUAUUUAAAUACGAAUCAGUAUUUUCAUUCAUUUUCCGCUUCCUGCAAUUAAGAUUCAGUGACGUGUGAUUCGCGGGAGUAAAGCGAGAGACAUUCCUGAGAAUGAAUGGUUUCCCCGGUAUUCCCAUUUAUUGAUGGAAGUACUCAUUUGGGGGUAGAUCAGGUCAUCUACUACCGUUUGAUUGCCAGGGUUCUUCCCCCUUAAUAUAACCUUAUCUCGAAGCCAUCUGACAAGCCACGAACAUCUUUAUAGCAUCUUUAUUCCCUGCUUUCAUAUCACUCCAGUUACUCCCUCUCUCUUUAGUUCUCCUGUUGCUGCCCCAAUUAAACGCUAAAUUCUUCCCACAGUACCGGGCAUGGGCCCCAUCGCAUAACCCAAUUCAAAGCCCAGCCCCCGUCUCGGGUUUUAGCACCAGCAGCUCUCCAGCUCUGUGGCAGAUUAAAGAGCAGGUAAAACGUCAAAGUAUAUUUUCCGACUAGGAAAUACCCGCUACUUGGAUCCAUUGUGUGUGCACUAACUAGAAAAUUAUCUAAUUGGGCGCUAAAUAGCCGAUGGAACUAAUUAGGGGACAAUAUAAUGAAUUUCUUCUUUUUGAAUCAUUUCUUUUGCUUUAUAAUGUAUUCCAACCAGGCGAUGACAGUUUGGACAAAACAAGCCUCAUAUCAUUUACGGCUUAAAAACUUAUUCGCCGAGUCGUAAUCAGAUUUGAUUAGGAUCUUAAAAUCGGUUUAAAAGGAUAUAGUCAUAGCAGUCAUAGCUUUUGAUGGCCAUCUCAUUCAUCUUUUAAUGAAUUAAGAAACUCUUCCUUCGUGCCGUUAUAACCAUAAUAUACCCAGAGACGCCGCGAGUACGCCGGGUAUUACAAAAAAUCACACACGCCUGGCCUGGGCUACUUGUCAUUGCGGAAACUUUGAGGUGUGUGCAGAGGAAAGGUGUCGGUGUUUGCUGUUAGAGAGGUAGAGGGUGUGUGACCCAAACAAUCUCCAGCUCCAGCCUCAGCUACAGCUACAGCUCCAGCUCGGACUCGUAUCUUUUAUUGUAAAUGUCAGUUGUGUGUUUGCCAUUGCCCAACUGCCAGGCCACGUUCAUGUGCCCCAUCUAGGACCCCAACCCCAUUUCGAUCUCCCCACCCCCAGGCAUGUCCGUGGCCGACGUCCGACGUCCACUCACAUUAAAUUACAUACACUCCUUUUGUUUGCAAUAUAUUUAAAUUGCUUGGCCGGCCUGUCUAAACAGUCCAAAAGCAGAAAAGAAAGAAAGAUCGUCCCAUCCAAAUGGCUCAAACAAAUGGCAAAGUUCAAACGAGGUUAACAACAUUUCAUGCCACUUCCACUGCCAUUGAAGUUGAGGCUGUAGCUGGACGAUUCAGCAGGCUGGAGGAUGGGAUGGGAUGGCACACAGGCCACGGCCACCAAAAUAGAUAAAAAACUUUGCAGGCCAACAAACCAAACCACAACCAAACCAAACAAACAUAACCCAGCAACGAACGCAGCCAAAAGCCAUCUUAAACGACAGGCUGCGGUAACAUGACCAUAGAAACGAUAGCUUCAGCUCCAGCAACAUCUCCAGGUCCAGGUCCACGUCCACGUCCAACUCCAGCACCAGCAUCAGCACCAGCAACGGCAAGUCCAAUAAAUAGACAUGAGCGCAAAUCUGAAGCCAUGGCUUCAUAUAAAACCUUUCUAACGAUCGUUUACCUCUCUCGCGAAAUGUAACAAAGGAGUUGGACGUUAAAAAAGUUGCCAUUGCAGCGGCGGCAGGGGCGGCUGGGGGAUAACAGAGAUAGGCAUUGGAGGUGGUGGCAUGGUGGCAUGGUGGCAUGGAUGUUGGAUGCUGGCUAGGCUAGAAGGAAGACCGACCAGUCCGGGCCAAGCCUAUCCUAUGGCAAUGCGCGCCCACUUCCUACUUGUUGCAUGCUGCCGCUGCCGCUGCUGCCCACAAAACGUUGCUUAGACGCUGAGAUUUGGUUGUUAUGCCUCCUCCGUCGGUCGUGGCUCGGAACGAAAAUGGUAGCUGCUGGGAAGCUGCGUAGCCUGUAGAGUUCAGGCCAGCGACGUAGAUGGCUGGUAAGCUCUGGGCCAUCGUGCUCAUUUGGCCCCUUUGCAUACGCCACUGUGUCCAAAAAGAGUCAACGGCGCGACCAGACCAAAAGACCACGAAGACCAAGAGAGACCCACCGCUCUAACCGAAAACCUCUAACCGAUAAAGCCAAAGCCAAAAACAAAACCAAAGGAGAAGAAAAGAGUAAUAACCAGUUUUUUGUCUCCCAAAAAAGCCAAACAAAUGAAGUCAAGCCGUGGUGGCAGCCAGGCAGGGAUGAAAGAAAAGAAGAGAACAACAAGAAGAGGAAAGAACGUACCUCAUGUUUACGAGUGGGGAAGCAGAACCAGGCAACACAAACUUCUGGCCAAAACGAACGAGCGAGCAGCUAGCAGCUAGCAGCCAGCAGACGAUCGAGCAAUCGAGCGGAGAACCAAGAACGCGGGAGGGAGGACAGCAGGGGUAGGGUAGGGCAGCGCAGGUCGGGUCGGUCGGUCGGUCGGGCGCUCUGCUCUUCAGCGUUAACUUGAACGUUAACGGCCAUCAUCAGAUAGAGCAGAGUCGCUGUUGCUGCCGCAGCCGCAGCCGCAGCCAGAGACACGGCCAAGAGUCCCAGCAAAAGAGCCAGUACAGUUGAAUUGAAGUAAAGUUGCGGCAAACGGGUAUUGAGGGAGUUUGGCUUCAGCUUCAGCUCUACACGUACCGUACCUUCCACUCUUGCCCCCCCCUGUCUCUUCUGGUCUCUGGGUCUCCUCCAACUGGGGUUUCGGUGUGGUGUUUGUCUCUUUUUGUUUUUGUGUCUCUGUUGUAGGAGUUUUGGCUGCACAGAAGUUUAGUUACAUGCUCAUUACAUAGAUACAGAUACACACACACACACACACACGCCAAGAAGAUACAUUGUAGAAUGUACUUAUGUGUGUAUGUGGCAGUGGUGGCAGGCCAUAGAUACAUACAAUUUAUGUAUUGCAGAUACAUAGAUACCCGGUAGAGGCUGGCUUUGGCUUUGGCUUUGCUUGUUGCUAGCCUGGACCUGGCUUGGAUGCUGCUCUGCUCUGCUAUGCUCUGAACUGCUGCUGUUGCCUUUCUAAACUUCGGGCUUUUCCGAUCUUUAUCGCAGAAGAGCAAAGAAAAUAAAAAUAAAUAAAUGCAGAACUCCCACAAAAAGGAAAAAAACCAAGCGAACCAUUUCUUUGGCCUAGCUACCCUGCUGUUGGGGAUCCUCUUCCUGCCAAAGCGAUCUUUCUUCUCAUGCAUAAAUUUCGAACGAAAGCAGUUUCAUUUCAUCCCAUGGCCAUAGUCAUAGUCAUAGCUGUAGUCAUAGACAUGGCCUGGCAUCGGGUCGGUCACCGUCUCCGUCUCCGUCUCGGCGUCCUCUUGUCCUCAGCAUCAUUAGUUUUGAGGUUUUUAUGUAUUGUAUGGACUGUGUGCUCUGUGCUCUGUGCUCUGUACUCUGUACUCUGGUCUCGUCGUUUUGGGGUCUCCUAUUGCAUGUUGUUAGUGCUGCGAUUGUUUAGGAUGGGAUUUGAUUGCGACCAUGGCAGUGCCACAAUAAAAACUGAAACUCUUCUUCGUUUCCCCAAGUCUUUCUCUUUCUCUCUCCAUCUCACUGUGUACUGUAUCUCAGGUUUUCCCUGAGUACGUGUGUGGGUAAUUGUAAAAACAAUUUAGACGAAUUUUCCAGUUCAAUUGCGCUUUUAAUUUAAAUUGCAGUCUAACUUGCCUUUGCUGGCUGGCACAAAUCAAUUGUCAGUCCAUUUUGGAGUUGAAAGUUCCAUGCGCGAAAAUUGCCCAAGAUGAUCAUGAGAGAUGCCAUGCCAUGCCAUGUGAUCAUGGACUUUAGUGGAAUGGACUGCAGUGGAGAGAUCCCCCUUUUGCAAUGGACAAAUGUUGAGAUGUCAGUGGAAAUGGUAAGCUUUUGCGCUUGAGACGCCUCUGAGAAUGUCAAUUUGGUGGAAUUUGGAUGGGAGGUUAAUUAACGAUCGAGUGAUCGAAUUGCUUGUUUGAAAGUACACAAUGCUCUGUACACUCUUGGAAUGAUAUCAGAGAUCCGAAAGAAAAUCUAUUGAUAGACAAUACAUCCACUAGGCACACAAUAAAUUUGAUCUAGGAUAGCUGCAGGGGAUAAAGAGAUGCACUUAUUGAUCAGUUGAUUGAUCUGAGACAGAUCUCAACGAUGCGAUAAGUACAGAUAGAUUCAUCAAGCUCCCAUAGAUCAGCAGAUCAGCGUUGAUCUGCCACUAGCACAAUACACACACUCACACACACACAAGAAAUAUAUUUAUGGAUGUGUGUACAUCUCUGACUCAAUGGAAGAGAACCGCUUCCAGCUCUUUAAACAUUCUCCUCUUUGCUUUUCUAAUCCCAGCUCUUCCAAUUUCUAUUUGUAGAAUGUAACAAUCAUUGAUGACUGUUUAAUAGGCAAACAUUUUGGAGUACUUCAGAUUGUGUGGCCGCCAGAAGACUGUCAAGCUCCCUGGUUGGUACUUAUUGACCACUUGAAGCCUUUCACCAUUUCUGCUGCUGCUGCUGCUGCUGCUUGGAGUGGAGUGGAGUUUGAUUUGAUGCUGCUGAGGUCGAAACCGAAGCGGUAAGCGCCAACCGGCAACAGAGGGCUGCACUCGAAGCUCAGUUUCGGCUUUGGCUUGGUUUGGUUUUGGCCCCUCAAGUGAAGAACAUUAAAGCCUAAGAACAACCAUUCGCCUGCUGCUAAAUUUCACUGUUUAUUUCUUGUGUUCGAGCUGAAAUUAAAAGACUAUAAACAAUCGUGAGAAUGGCACUUGAACAUGUUCAAAACUAUAAUGGCCUAAAACGAAAUGUGCAAGAGAAGCCGCUGUCGCUGCCGUUGCCGUUGACGCUGCCGAAGAUGAAGAUGGGGGGCACGACAGAGAUGGCAAAUGGACAAAACAAACCAACAAGCUUCACAGCCAAAGCCAAAGCCAACAAACGGAGCGAGCCAUGCUCAAGCAGCGGCUAAAUGAACAGACAGUCAAUCAACUUUUAGUCAAAAGCUACAGCAACAACAGCAACAACAAUCAUGACUGGGCCUAUGACGUUGGCAUCAAAGAGAAAAGCGCGCGCUCGGCUCGGGCACUGUUCGGCUCAAUUCAAGCCAAGCCAAAACGAUCACGAGAUCUGGCUGGAGUCUCUGGCUCUGCUCUUGCUCUGACUCAGGCUCAUACUCUGCUCUACUCUGCCUUGGCCAAGAUGAUUUAAACAGACCGCUGCACUAAGAAAACUAUUACAAAAUGAUCAAAACAACUAAAACAAAAUCAAAUCAGCCGAAGACGAUGAUGCUCAGAUGCUCAGAUGCUGAUGUUGAUGUUGAUGUCGAGGCGGCCUGAGUUGGAAGCGGCAAUGGGCUAUUGCUAUUGCUAAGGCGAUCGUAUCGUAUCGGAUUGGAUCGGUUCGAGACUCGAUUACAAUAAUUACAAUCGGCUACGCGCGAUUCACCAAAUCACAGCAACAACAACAGUCGCUCUUUGUGAAAGUGUAUGAAUCUGUGUGGCUGUACAGGCACACAUACACUCGAAGAGAGAGAGAGAGAGAGAGACAGAGGGACCAACUAUUACGUGCAUAUAAACAAUUUUUAUAAGAAAUUGAAGCCAAGAAGCAGAAUUAAAACAAAACUCAUCAACGGCAUCCACAUCCACAUCCACAACCACGUCGUUGGGGAGAUACCAACACUCACUUGGGAGCUGCUCACACACACACACUUAGCCACACGCACGAGUCAAUUGCUGCGGCUGGAGAAAAGAACAGAAGAGAAGAGAAGAGAACAGAACACGGACAAACGUUCUGACAGAGAUCCAUCUUCAGCCCCACGCUCAGUGUUCCCAGUUCCAGUUCCAGGCCCUGCCACAGCCGCUGUCUCUGCUUGAGCAGAACAAUUUUUAGCUAACAGCUCUGGUCUGCUCCAGGAAAAGGGCCAACACUCGUUCAGCUAUGAGCAUAAGCUUUAUAUUAGGGAUCACUAACAUAAAUGAACGAUUUUCCAUGAUUUUUGU
Molecule: long non-coding RNA, 7354 nt
Filed under: Drosophila guanche
Lineage: Eukaryota; Metazoa; Arthropoda; Insecta; Diptera; Drosophilidae
Source: RNAcentral